UACGGAAGGGGCAAGCGUUGUUCGGAAUCAUUGGGCGUAAAGGGCGCGUAGGUGGCUCUGUAUGUCUGCCGUGAAAGCAUACAGCUCAACUGUAUUGUGUCGGUAGAAACUGCAGGACUUGAGGCUGGGAGGGGCUGGUGGAAUUCCCUGUGUAGCGGUGAAAUGCGUAGAGAUGGGGGAGAACACUCGUGGCGAAGGCGGCCAGCUAGACCAGUUCUGACACUGAGGCGCGACAGCGUGGGGAGCAAACAGG
This 253-nucleotide ribosomal RNA is filed under the name uncultured bacterium. Its description in RNAcentral is "partial 16S ribosomal RNA". It matches the Rfam family "Bacterial small subunit ribosomal RNA", at positions 524 to 776 of the family's 1533-position model. The record is from RNAcentral.